UGUGUAGGCGGUUGCUUAAGUUUGGUGUGAAAUCUCCCGGCUCAACUGGGAGGGUGCGCCGAAUACUGAGUGACUAGAGUGCGGGAGAGGAGAGUGGAAUUCCUGGUGUAGCGGUGAAAUGCGUAGAUAUCAGGAGGAACACCGGUGGUGUAGACGGCUCUCUGGACCGUAACUGACGCUGAGACACGAAAGCGUGGGUAGCAAACAGGAUUAGAUACCCUGGUAGUCCACGCCCUAAACGAUGCAUAUUUGGUGUGGGCAGUUCAGUCUGUCCGUGCCGGAGCUAACGCGUUAAAUAUGCCGCCUGGGGAGUACAGUCGCAAGGCUGGA
This 330-nucleotide ribosomal RNA is filed under the name uncultured bacterium. RNAcentral's name for it is "bacterial SSU rRNA". It matches the Rfam family "Bacterial small subunit ribosomal RNA", at positions 568 to 898 of the family's 1533-position model. The record is from RNAcentral.